This 440-nucleotide ribosomal RNA is filed under the name uncultured bacterium. Its description in RNAcentral is "partial 16S ribosomal RNA". It matches the Rfam family "Bacterial small subunit ribosomal RNA", at positions 338 to 795 of the family's 1533-position model. The record is from RNAcentral.
CCUACGGGGGGCUGCAGUGGGGGAUAUUGCACAAUGGGGGGAACCCUGAUGCAGCGACGCCGCGUGGGUGAAGGAGCGUUUCGGCGCGUAAAGCCCUAUCAGCAGGGAAGAAGAUGACGGUUACUGAAGUAAAAGCCCCGGCCAACGACGGGCCAGCAGCCGCGGGUAUACGUAGGGGGGAAGCGUUAGCCGGAUUUACUGGGUGUAAAGGGGGCGCCGGCGGCGAUGCAAGCCAGGAGUGAAAGCCCGGGGCCCAACCCCGGGACUGCUCUUGGAACUGCGCGGGGGGAGUGCAGGAGGGGCAGGCGGAAUUCCUGGUGUAGCGGUGAAAUGCGUAGAUAUCAGGAGGAACACCGGUGGCGAAGGCGGCCUGCUGGACUGCGACUGACGUUGAGGCCCGAAAGCGUGGGGAGCAAACAGGAUUAGAUACCCGGGUAGUC